RNAcentral lists this ribosomal RNA (406 nucleotides) under Staphylococcus epidermidis. RNAcentral describes it as "bacterial SSU rRNA". It matches the Rfam family "Bacterial small subunit ribosomal RNA", at positions 1 to 396 of the family's 1533-position model. Lineage: Bacteria; Bacillati; Bacillota; Bacilli; Caryophanales; Staphylococcaceae. The record is from RNAcentral.
UUUAUGGAGAGUUUGAUCCUGGCUCAGGAUGAACGCUGGCGGCGUGCCUAAUACAUGCAAGUCGAGCGAACAGACGAGGAGCUUGCUCCUCUGACGUUAGCGGCGGACGGGUGAGUAACACGUGGAUAACCUACCUAUAAGACUGGGAUAACUUCGGGAAACCGGAGCUAAUACCGGAUAAUAUAUUGAACCGCAUGGUUCAAUAGUGAAAGACGGUUUUGCUGUCACUUAUAGAUGGAUCCGCGCCGCAUUAGCUAGUUGGUAAGGUAACGGCUUACCAAGGCAACGAUGCGUAGCCGACCUGAGAGGGUGAUCGGCCACACUGGAACUGAGACACGGUCCAGACUCCUACGGGAGGCAGCAGUAGGGAAUCUUCCGCAAUGGGCGAAAGCCUGACGGAGCAACG